Molecule: ribosomal RNA, 497 nt
Filed under: uncultured bacterium
Lineage: Bacteria
Description: partial 16S ribosomal RNA
Rfam family: Bacterial small subunit ribosomal RNA
Source: RNAcentral
GAUGAACGCUGGCGGCGUGCCUAACACAUGCAAGUCGAGCGAACAGACGAUAAGAUUGCUCCCCUGCCGUUAGCGGCGGACGGGUGAGUAACAAGUGGAUCACAUACCUCUAAUACUUGGAUAACUUCGGGACACAGCAGCUAAUAACACAUAAUAUGUUGUACCGCAUGGUUCAACAGUGAAAUACGCCUUUCCUGUCUGAUUUAGAUGGUUCCGAGCCGCAUUAGCUAGUUGGUAAGGUAACGCCUUACCAAGGCUACGAUGCGUAGCCGACCUGAGAGGAUGAUCGGCCACACUGGAGCUGAGACACGGUCCAGACUCCUACGGGAGGCAGCAGUAGGGAAUCUUCCGCAAUGGGCGCAAGCCUGACCGAGCAACGCCGCGUGAGUGAAGAAGGUCUUCGGGUCGUAAAACCCUGUUAUUAGGGAAGAACAGAUGCGUAAGUAAAUAGCCACGUCUUGACGGUACCCAAUCAGAAAGCACCGGCUAACUACGUG